This 397-nucleotide ribosomal RNA is filed under the name uncultured bacterium. Its description in RNAcentral is "bacterial SSU rRNA". It matches the Rfam family "Bacterial small subunit ribosomal RNA", at positions 521 to 916 of the family's 1533-position model. The record is from RNAcentral.
UAAUACGUAGGUGGCAAGCGUUGUCCGGAUUUACUGGGCGUAAAGAGCGCGCAGGCGGUCGUAUAAGUCGAAUGUGAAAGCCCCCGGCUCAACUGGGGAGGGUCAUUCGAUACUGUUCGACUCGAAGGCAGGAGAGGGAAGUGGAAUUCCGGGUGUAGUGGUGAAAUGCGUAGAUAUCCGGAGGAACACCAGUGGCGAAGGCGACUUUCUGGCCUGUUCUUGACGCUGAGGCGCGAAAGCUAGGGGAGCAAACGGGAUUAGAUACCCCGGUAGUCCUAGCCGUAAACGAUGGACACUAGGUGUUGGUGGUAUCAACCCCGCCAGUGCCGUAGCUAACGCAUUAAGUGUCCCGCCUGGGGAGUACGGCCGCAAGGCUAAAACUUAAAGGAAUUGACGG